This 409-nucleotide long non-coding RNA is filed under the name Citrus maxima (pomelo). RNAcentral describes it as "long non-coding RNA (CMAX_LNC003584)". The record is from RNAcentral. Lineage: Eukaryota; Viridiplantae; Streptophyta; Magnoliopsida; Sapindales; Rutaceae.
GCCACGCCAGGCCACCGAUAUCACUGGCGUUUCCCGAGGUUUCGAGAUUGAACGGAAAAUUGAAUAAAAGAUGCUGCAUGCAAAGCAGGCAGAGAAGCAAGCGGAAGCCGCUGCUUAUUACACACGAGGCACGUAAUUAAGUACCGAGUCAUUAACAACAUAAAACACAAAUUAAAAUAAACAAAAGUCAUUAACAACAUAAAACACAAAUUAAAAUAAACAAAGUCAUUAACAACAUAAACACAAAAUCAAAACUACAUAAACAGCAUUAAACACAAUAACUCAAAACACAGACCCACACGAACACACAGCACGGCCACAACUCAAUUCGUUUAUUAUUAUUUUUCCUAACACAAGAACUGAUUGCUGUUCAGCUGCUGAGUCGCCGCCACGUCAUCAAGCAUCCAAA